UGGGGAAUAUUGGACAAUGGGCGCAAGCCUGAUCCAGCCAUGCCGCGUGAGUGAUGAAGGCCUUAGGGUUGUAAAGCUCUUUCACCGAUGAAGAUAAUGACGGUAGUCGGAGAAGAAGCCCCGGCUAACUUCGUGCCAGCAGCCGCGGUAAUACGAAGGGGGCUAGCGUUGUUCGGAUUUACUGGGCGUAAAGCGCACGUAGGCGGUUUGUUAAGUCAGGGGUGAAAUCCCACAGCUCAACUGUGGAACUGCCUUUGAUACUGGCAAGCUAGAGUCCGGAAGAGGUAAGUGGAACUCCUAGUGUAGAGGUGGAAUUCGUAGAUAUUAGGAAGAACACCAGUGGCGAAGGCGGCUUACUGGUCCGGAACUGACGCUGAGGUGCGAAAGCGUGGGGAGCAAACA
This 402-nucleotide ribosomal RNA is filed under the name uncultured Devosia sp. RNAcentral describes it as "bacterial SSU rRNA". It matches the Rfam family "Bacterial small subunit ribosomal RNA", at positions 355 to 774 of the family's 1533-position model. Lineage: Bacteria; Pseudomonadati; Pseudomonadota; Alphaproteobacteria; Hyphomicrobiales; Devosiaceae. The record is from RNAcentral.